This 420-nucleotide ribosomal RNA is filed under the name Triticum aestivum (bread wheat). RNAcentral describes it as "partial small subunit ribosomal RNA". Lineage: Eukaryota; Viridiplantae; Streptophyta; Magnoliopsida; Poales; Poaceae. The record is from RNAcentral.
AUGUGCCCCCUAUGUGACACGGCGGAGGAUGCCAAUCACAUCUUCUUCUCCUGUUGCACGGCACAGUUCCUAUGGGCGUGUUUUCGCGAAACGGUUGGGGGACAGUGGUGUAAUAACAACUUCCUGGACUUGCUUGCGGAAAUCCAGGCCUCCCAUCCACGCUACAGACAUAUUAGAUGGCUGUGCGUUGGGGUGCUGGCUUGGACGUUGUGGACGGUUCGCAAUAAGCUUGUCAUUCAGAAGGUGCCUCUUCGACGUGCGACUGACUCCAUCUUCAAAAUGUGUGGUUACUUGCAGCUCUGGCGGCCGCUUAGCCGCCCUCCGGACCGGGAUGCCAUCGACAGACUCCUCUCCGACCUUCGUUCGUUGGCCUUCCGCCUGGCACCGCCGCUCCCGCCGCCUCCCCCGGAGCCCGACUAG